GUCUAUGGCGGACCGUGCGAGUGGGCGCAUGCCCAGCCGGCUUUGCACAAGCUCCCCGGUACUUCCACCUCGCACGGUCCGCCACCCUC
Molecule: non-coding RNA, 89 nt
Filed under: Metapseudomonas resinovorans NBRC 106553
Lineage: Bacteria; Pseudomonadati; Pseudomonadota; Gammaproteobacteria; Pseudomonadales; Pseudomonadaceae
Source: RNAcentral